GCUUCAGCCUCUUCCCCCCCCCCCCUGUCGAACAGAUAAGGAGAGAAGGAACGAGAGUGCAGCGGCGUCGACAGGGCUGGCAGCGGCGCUCAGAUUUGUGAAGUGUUCAUCGAUCUGCAGGCCAGUUGAAGGCUAACAAGGCAAGCAAGGAGAUAAAGUCUUACAAGACCAAAGUAAUCAAGAACUGGGAGUCCAUAUGUAUCGUAUAUUCAAAAGAUCAUGCUAAUGGCGAGGGUGCGAAGACAUGUGCUGAGAUUGCUGCAGAGCCAUUAGAAGAACCAAUUGAAGUCUCUCCAGAAGUAGCACCAAAGAGGCAGCGAACAGGUGAUGCUAUUCUUUGCAUGCUUGGAGAUAUGAAGAAGGACUUAGUUGAUGCUUUCAAGACAACUGAGCCUAUUCCACUACCAAAGGUUACCACACCCACUGAAAUACUUGAUGCACUUAGAUUGAUACCUGAUUUAGCUGAGCAAGAUAUGCUUCGAUGUUACGGGAAGUUGGUACUCAAUGAUCGCCUAUUUCAAGCUCUGAAGGAGCUGCCCAUUACCAUGAGGAAGACAUGGCUGCUAAUGUUGCCUUGAAGAUCAAUGCUUUUAUGUGUUGUUGAACUUUGAACCAUCUAUUUUAUGUCAUGUUGAACUUGGAACUAUGUAUGUACUGCCUUGUUGAACUUGGAACUAUGUAUGUACUGCCAUGCACUGUUUAUGUCAAGCAUUUGUACAUAUCUUCUAAAUUGUUGUGAUUUAUGUCAUGUACGAGACCAUAUUUGAG
RNAcentral lists this ribosomal RNA (768 nucleotides) under Triticum aestivum (bread wheat). RNAcentral describes it as "partial small subunit ribosomal RNA". Lineage: Eukaryota; Viridiplantae; Streptophyta; Magnoliopsida; Poales; Poaceae. The record is from RNAcentral.